GCCGGCAGCUAGCUCUCUGCAACUCUCAAAUGGUCGCCCACUGAAGCUAAUCAGGGCUGCACCUGGUAAGUACCUUGAUGGUAGACCACACGGGAAAUCUAGGUUGCUGCAGGAA
Molecule: non-coding RNA, 115 nt
Organism: Danio rerio (zebrafish)
Lineage: Eukaryota; Metazoa; Chordata; Actinopteri; Cypriniformes; Danionidae
Source: Rfam